Molecule: unclassified non-coding RNA, 344 nt
Filed under: soil metagenome
Description: partial contains 5.8S ribosomal RNA, internal transcribed spacer 2, and large subunit ribosomal RNA
Rfam family: 5.8S ribosomal RNA (bases 1-120)
Source: RNAcentral
GAUGAAGAACGUAGCGAAAUGCGAUAAGUAGUGUGAAUUGCAGAAUUCAGUGAAUCAUCGAAUCUUUGAACGCACAUUGCGCCCGCCAGUAUUCUGGCGGGCAUGCCUGUUCGAGCGUCAUUUCCACCAUCAGGCCCCCGGGCCUGUGUUGGGGACCUGCGGCUGCCCGCAGGCCCCGAAAUUCAGUGGCGGUCGCGCCGUAGCAACCGAGCGUAGUAACUAAAACGUCUCGCUCUGGCUCGCUGGGCGCGCUCCGGCCGUAAAACACCCCCCCUUUUCGCAAAGGUUGACCUCGGAUCAGGUAGGAAUACCCGCUGAACUUAAGCAUAUCAAUAAGCGGAGGA